Long non-coding RNA from Drosophila navojoa, 1250 nucleotides. The record is from RefSeq and is a predicted model, not a curated record. NCBI's taxonomy places the organism in Eukaryota, Metazoa, Arthropoda, Insecta, Diptera, Drosophilidae.
GCCCGACUGAGAUUCGAAAAUACUUUAUCUUUCUUUUUUGUUAUUCUAAAAGUCGUUAGUAAUUUAACUAGCUAACUAAAUAUAUUUCCAUGUGUGUGUGUGUGUGUGUGUGCAUGGAAAAGACAACUGCUGGCGACCUCCGGCUUGAGCCGGCGCCAAUGCCCCGUCUGUCGAUUAACCAGCAAUCAGUGUGUACGUGAGGCGCCUAGGUGCACUGGGAAGAUCAACAGCUGAUCUGAGCCGGGAGCAGCAAGCGACACGAGUUACGUGUUCCAGCUAACAAGCUCAAUCUCGCCGGCCGGCAGACUGAUCUGGCAACCAUGUGCCGCUUUACCAGAACAAACAAAAACAAAAACAACAGAAAGCGUAAACUGAAAAGAUGGAAGGAGCCUUGACCAAAGCAGAACAGAUAACAGUUACAUCCAUCGUCUAUCCUCGUCCAAAGCUGUCGAGAACGCAGAUCAAAUGCUAAUGGCUAAUGCCUAAUAGCGGCAGUUAUAGUGGAUGUCAAAUGAAGUUUUCCGUUCUGUUAACAUGGGCAAAUACAACUGUCACGUUCCGUCGCCCAAGCAGAUUGAUCUAGCUAAUUCUCACACCUCAGAGAUAGUUCGCGAAAAGCGAAAUUACUCGCAAUUAGCAUACAGGUCGUGUUUUCUGCAGAUUCAUCUAAAAUCGCUCAGAAAUAUGUGCUGCACAUUCAUUUCAGAGACUCGAAGCUGUCGAAGCUGCAGCUGCUGCAGAAAAUCUCAUUCAUGCCAUGCCAAUAUUGUGAUAUCCAAUUAUCUUUCAUGAUAAGUAAUAUGAUCUAGAUAUGCUCCCCAAAGUGUACUCAUUUCGCCCGCAUAGUCGCAUGAGUAAAUUAUUAUCAAAACAAAACAAAAUAUCACAGUCAUAGUUCAUAUUUCCAUAAAAUUAUUAACUAAACAGGCAAUUGUUUUAUUGUCGGGCUAUAAAACUCAAAGAACAAAAAGAAAAGACAUAUUCAUCUGCUGUUUCUGCGCAUGUUGGCUUUAGUUGGAUCGUCAAACAUUGUAUAUAAAACCAAAAAUAAAAAAAAAAAAAAAAGAGAAAACAAUUUGACAACGGAAGCACCUGUCUCUAAAGUACCCAAAGGAAAAAUUGCGCAGACUUUUAUCGGUCAAUCUCAACAUAAGCACACAUACAUUAAUCUCACUGUACAUACAUAAAUAGAACGGUUCUUGUACAUAGGCCGUGUGUCUAACGUCACGAACAGUUAGUGAGUCAGUGGA